Molecule: long non-coding RNA, 336 nt
Filed under: Ananas comosus (pineapple)
Lineage: Eukaryota; Viridiplantae; Streptophyta; Magnoliopsida; Poales; Bromeliaceae
Description: long non-coding RNA (ACOM_LNC009078)
Source: RNAcentral
CACCCGAACGGCCACCAAUCCGCGAUCCGUCUAUUCUGGAGUUUAUUCCACGACACCACGAUGCUCCCGAUCCGCUUUCAUGAUUUUUGGAGGCUUAUCUCGCGUGCUGCGGCUAUCUGUACCAAAACAGACUGUUUCGUCAAUAACUUCGCGUACACUCGUCGUAUCGUCGAACCGAGCGCACCAACGCGUUCGUUAUACCCCCAAUUAGGUUUACAGAGGGUUAAUUGAGAUCAAACCCAUCUAUUUACAAAAAUCCCAUUUUUGAGCCCUAGUUUGCGACUACGGCAAAAUAUCCCAAAUCGAUCUCCGAUUCAUGCAUUAAUCUACUCAUAA